UACAGAGGGGGCAAGCGUUGUUCGGAUUUAUUGGGUGUAAAGGGUGCGUAGGUGGUCGAGCAAGUCGAAUGUGGAAUCUCCCGGCUCAACUGGGAGCUUACAUCCGAAACUACACGGCUUGAGGGUAGGGGAAGAAACUGGAAUUCUCGGUGUAGCGGUGAAAUGCGUAGAUAUCGAGAAGAACACCAGUGGCGAAGGCGGGUUUCUACUCUACAUCUGACACUGAGGCACGAAAGCUAGGGUAGCAAACGGG
This 253-nucleotide unclassified non-coding RNA is filed under the name uncultured bacterium. RNAcentral's name for it is "contains 16S-23S intergenic spacer region". It matches the Rfam family "Bacterial small subunit ribosomal RNA", at positions 524 to 776 of the family's 1533-position model. The record is from RNAcentral.